This 4848-nucleotide long non-coding RNA is filed under the name Vigna radiata. RNAcentral's name for it is "long non-coding RNA (VRAD_LNC014442)". Lineage: Eukaryota; Viridiplantae; Streptophyta; Magnoliopsida; Fabales; Fabaceae. The record is from RNAcentral.
UACAACACUGACAAACACAAUCUAACCCAAUAACCCAUUUCAGUACUCAAGUAAGUGCAAUCACUCACUUCAUAUACCUAUGCUUAAAUACUCAGAAAACAAAGCCCAGAAUCAAUCAUUUCACGCCUUGUGCCUUACUCCUUGUGUACUGACACUUUUAUGCAUUGCCAUUACAAAAUGGGAAACGUUUUUAAUGCCCCCAAAUAAACUAUUUUUCUUAUUUAAUUCUCUUUUUCUGCUUCUAAAGCUUUUAAAGUAUGAAUAUAUCUUCAUUGUGAAAUAAAAAACAGCCACACCUUUUAUGCACAGACCGGUUCGGUGUAUUAAAUAUACACUUUUAUUCCAUUCUAUACAAAUAUUAACGUAAUAUUUAUGUAAAUAGAUUCCUAUAAAAGCAAAUAAAAAUCUAAAAACAUGUUUGCAUGCACGAUAUAAACAAAUUCAAAAACAUCUUUUGAAAGCAUGGUUUAAAAAAAGAUAAUUGUUUCAGGUACACAGUCAAAUAACUUCUAAUAUUUUCACAAUUUUCUUUCUUAACUCAUUCGCGUAGUCGUAUUUUUAUCGUUCUUUGUCUUCGCUUCAAUUGUCUGGAAGAAUAUCUCUCAAAAGUUCUUCGAUAUUUGAGUCAGUAAAUAAUCCGGUAGUCAGAGCAAUAGUAUUGAAUGCACAGUAAAUGCGAUCACUUACUUCUUACCUUUUAUCUUUACUUAUAGUUUUUGAGAUGAACUUGAGAUCAGUGAGACCUUAAAUUUGACCCAAUCUCGGCCUAUUACCUUUAAUGAGUACUUAUCUUAUUCUUUGAUCUGGGAGAGUUAAUUAUCACGUUGUGUCGUCCGGCCCUGGUCCUGUCCGGUUGGUAUCUUAUGACUUUGGACCGAUAGGCUACUUCGCAUGUUCCAGGACUGUUCAGCCUUACGGUACACAGGUUCCCCAAGCCUUAGAUAGUGCCAGUUGACGUAGGGAUAUGUUAUUUGGGCCUCUAGUGGUGUACUCAGCUGUAAUGGGGAAGGACCGUAGUGAAUUUUGAAUAGGGAAAUUGGCAAGAAGACACGUGUCGUGCGCCGAUAGCGCCUCACUCUCGGGCAGUGGGAAGGUCGCCUGAUCUGGACCAUUGAUCAUGGUUGUCUUUAACGAUGGUGAUGUGCUGGCAGUUACGAAAAUCUUCCUUAUAAAUAGGGUGAUGGGUGUUUUGUCACUUUCAUUAUUCUCCUUCUUUUUGCUUUGCAUACCGUCCGACUUCCUUAUCGCAUCUCUUUUAUUUUGGUAAUAAUAACGAGCAUUGUGCACCUUUUUUCGUCUGAGGAGUCAUCGGGUAGAGGCGAUGGGGAUCCAACGGGGUCGAGUAACCGGCCUUCGUCUCCAAGCUCCGUGUCGUCUUCGUAUAUCUGGGAAACCAAACGAGAAAUUACCUCAGGGUCUCAAUCCCCUCCCACAUAUGGCGAAGGGCUAUCAACGGGGUAGCCAUCGGUCUUUGCGUCGACGGUGUCGAUAUUGAUGAUGAGGAGGCUGCUCCUGCUAGCAAUUUUCCAUGAUUAACGACUAUGGUAGGCGGUGCAUGAGGUCGGUCUUUACACGUCAUGUUUCCUUCGCAAAAGGAACCUGGAGUGGUGGGCCGACCGGUCGCACAUGGUGCAGUGUAUUGAGGAUGUGAGUUUAAUCAGACUCGGUGCUUGCAAAAGGAACGAACGGGUAUACCAUGGGAAGGAGUCAAGUACCAAAGAUUUCUUCUUUGUUUAUACUUAUCUUUUUUCCCAAAUGUAUGUUCGAGUGACCUUCGCCACCUUUCAGUCGGACGUGUUGUGCAAACUUAACAUCGCCCCCACCCAGCUCCAUCCGAACGGAUGGACAUGCAUACAUGCUUUCGUGAUAACUCCAUCGGUUCCUAUUUUCUUACAUUACUAUCACGUCCGGCCGCUCAUCAAGCGAGGAUGGGUGUUGUUGACCCCAUGAGAAAUAAAUGGUUAUAUAAACCAUUCUCGGAUUCUUUUAAAGGGUUUAAGACGAGGUAUUUUAAUAUAAUCACAAUUUCAGAACCUCAACCAUUGCCAUACAUUCAAGCCAUUAAAAUGAAGAUGAACCACAACUUAAGCAUAUGGUAAUUCUGUAUAGGUUCACGGCAUACCUCUUAGAGCUUUCUUCUAAAUCUUCUCUUCGGUUUGAGGCUUCUUUAUUUUUCUCUUCCUUUGUUUCCACUUUUCUCUUUCUAAUCUUGUUUCUCCCUGUUCCAGACUCUUUUCUUCUUUUCCUCCUUACUUUUCAGUAACUUCUCUCUUUUAUUUCCUAUUUUCCUCGGUCACGGACCAUUAUCCUCUUUCUUUAGAAUGGUCCCUCCAUCAUCAGCAUUCACUUUCUCCGUCCUUGGAUCUUUCUUAUCAACACUGUAUUUUUUUCAUUCUUGUGAUUCUUCUAAAUGUCGACAAACAAUGGCCAAGUAAAGGGAUCAAUGUUAGCUAAUAGACAACUUUUUAUUGGCUUUUGCAUGGCUAAAGCAUCCCAAGAGUAUAAAGGAUGAAAUAUGUGUUAUAAUGAUGAAAAUGUACUUUUUUUCUUUGUGUACUUGUUAUUUAAUUUUUUUUGUUUGUUUAAAAAAACAUGUAUACAAAAUAUACAAAGAUGAAAAUAAAAAUAAAACAAAAUGAGAUAAAAUAAAAUAAAUUAAAGAUAAAAUUAAAAAUAAUAAGGUUUGAUUUAUUAUAACAUUUUUUUUUAAUUUUAGUUCAAGUACUCAAGGGCAUCUAUCAUUUAUGACGUAUAUUUAGGAGUUAGUUAGUGUAAUAUACGAAAUUAAAUUAAUAUUAUCAUGUUGUCAUGGGACCUGAAAAGAUAAACUACAUUUUUCAAAAAUAUAUACUUUGCGUCUCAUGUGCUAAUAAAGAUUUGACUUGAAUUUCAAAGAAGAACUUAUGAAAUAGUUUUCAAUUUAUCUAAUAGUUACAAUUGCAUGUGUUUAUUUUGAACCUAUUUAAAUGUUUUAUGUCCGAAAAUUGAAGUUAAAAACUGCAUCUGGAAUUGAAGUAGGCUGGAAGUGUGGAUGAUGUUUGAAAUAGGAGAUGAAGUGGAGGAUCAUUUACAGCUUAGCUCUGGUUUCUGAAUGAUGUCAUGAAGAGCCUCAGUUCAACUAUUGUGUCCACAAGCCUUUUGGUGUUUCAAUUUCUGAAUUUUCGUUAAUUACUAUCCUUUAUUUUGUUGUUAUCUGUUUUUUUUUGGAUAAAAUGAGAUUAGGAUUAAUAGUCAACAUCAUUUUGUGUAGCCUCGUUGAAAUUAAAUAUUAUUGGCAAAGUUUAGUACAACGUCCUGUAGGUGAAUUCUUGUACUAUGAUUCAAUUAUUUAUAAAUUAAAAUUAUUAACUUAAAAAUAAAAAUAAAUUUUUACUAGUUUCUACUUUGUAAUUUAUUUAACCAUUUCAAAUGUGUGCAAUCGUUUUUCUUUAAAAGAUAAGGUUUUGGUAACUAUUUCUAUUUUAGGAUUCUCUUCUUCCAAUAAUUAUCUUGUUAGUUUUUUCAUUAAAAUUUUCUUUCAACAAUUCUUUUCUUUCAGGAUGAUUAGGUUUUCUUGAGCAUAACUUUAAAAUAUGAUCGUCGAUCUAGAUGUUGUAAGUGUCAUUUGUUUUUGGAAAUCUAUGGAGAUCGUAAUUAGGACUAGGCUCGGUUGACUUAAAACUCUAAACUAUAACUUAUCUGAACUGUUUUUUACUUAAAAACCUUAAACUAUGUUUACUAGAAACCAAUUAUACUGUUUAAUAAUUCAGUAUUAAAAUACUGAACUUAUUCUAUAUGAACUUUGAAUUGUCUUUACCUCAUCCUCUAUCACAAUUUUGUUCCCCAUCUCUUACAACUCGUGCUGUUGUUGAAGGCUCGUAGCUGUCUAUCAAAGGUUUGCCGCGGUCGAAGGUUCGUCUCAGUUGAAGACUCACCGUUAUCCAAGGCUUUUCCGCACUCUGCCGUCACCUAAUUGUUGAAGGCUCUACCACUCUCGUCGAAAGUUCGUCACAUGGGAAAAGAGUUUCUCCACUAAUGAAAAGUAUUUGUUAGCACCAGAAUUUAUUUCAAAGAACCAAAAGGUUAAAAAGAAUUACUAAGGAUAAAAAUAAAAUUCAAUAAUUUCUGAUAAAAAACAUAUUUAAAUUUAUAUAUGUCUUUCUCUUUUUAUAUUAAUUGCAUUAUAUACUAUUGCAUGGAAACAUGUUCUAUUAGGUGAAAAAUACAUGAAUCAUUAAAAUUGGAAUAUGUAAUAAUAGUAUUAUCCUUAAUUUAUACAUGGAUAGAGCAAACUAUUUACUAAUCUCGUAGAGCAAACCAUUGAUCAAUAGCCUUGGGGAUGUUCUCCUUGUUAAUCAGCAUCCUACGGAACCAGGUGAGACCUUUCACAGUCACAGUAUCGUCCAAUGCCCUUCUACCUGUGAUCAGUUCCAUCAAAAUUACUCCAAAUGCAUACACAUGGUCGAAAGUUAUGCCUACAGAAGGUAUUAUCAUCAGCUUCGACCAUCACACUCAUUCUGUGUUCGAAGAUCAAGUUUGAUGAGGUUACAUGACUGAACCAAAUCGGCAAUUGAGGUUAGAUGACCGGACCAAGUCGGCGGCCCUGGAGAGAGAGCGAGGUGAGUUGGGAGAGGGAGUUGAGAUGCGGAGGUAGCGUUCCGGUUGGAACAGGUUCUGAAUCUGAUCGAUGAAAUCGUUGGCACCAUAGUAGCGGUUGGCGGGUAUACCCUCGGAGUAGUUGUUGGUGAGGGUAAUCCCCAGCGCCUCUAUGACCGCGAACAGCAAAGGUGAUAGAACAGAGAAGAAUACCUAUGCUACACUUCUCAGAGCCAAGGACAAAAACAUGUUCGGAUGAGUAUUAGAAGUUGG